This 253-nucleotide ribosomal RNA is filed under the name uncultured bacterium. RNAcentral's name for it is "partial 16S ribosomal RNA". It matches the Rfam family "Bacterial small subunit ribosomal RNA", at positions 524 to 776 of the family's 1533-position model. The record is from RNAcentral.
UACGUAGGGGGCAAGCGUUGUCCGGAUUUAUUGGGCGUAAAGAGCGUGUAGGCGGCCAGGUAGGUCUGCUGUGAAAACUCGAGGCUUAACCUCGAGAUGUCGGCGGAAACCAUCUGGCUAGAGUCCGGAAGAGGAGAAUGGAAUUCCCGGUGUAGCGGUGAAAUGCGCAGAUAUCGGGAGGAACACCGGUGGCGAAGGCGGCAUCCUGGACCAACACUGACACUGAGGAGCGAAAGCCAGGGGAGCAAACGGG